This 3194-nucleotide long non-coding RNA is filed under the name Vigna radiata. RNAcentral describes it as "long non-coding RNA (VRAD_LNC005757)". The record is from RNAcentral. Lineage: Eukaryota; Viridiplantae; Streptophyta; Magnoliopsida; Fabales; Fabaceae.
GCCAGGUAGGCUAUAGUUAUGCAUAAUAAAUUGAGCAUUUUGUUGAGUUUGAAUAUCAUACCGUAAUAGAGAUGUCUAUACAAUGCAUUUUUUGUGGUAAAUUCUUCAUAUUUAAAUCACUUAUUUGUAAUAUUUCUAUGUGUGAAAUAGGAAGAAAUCUCCCUUGUGUGUUAAAUACACACAUAGGGUUCUCUAUUUAUAAUAAAAGAAAUAUGGGUUAAGCCCAAAUAUAAAUGAAUAUGUAAGAAUAAAAUAAAAUAAGAACAAUGUUUCCCUAAUAAACAUAUAGGGACUAUAUUUCCCUUAUUAAUAUAAACUAAAUAUAAUAUCUCUAAUACUCUCCCUCAAGCUGGAGCAUACAGAUUGUAUGGACCAAACUUGGAAUAAAUAAGCUCAAUUUGAAAUAUAUGAUCUGUCUUCAAGAGUGUGUGACAAAUAGAUGUGCAAUCACAUAUCGACAAACAACUGACAUCAAUUUAUGGAUAGUAGUAAACAACUGCGAAACUUCAAAUAACACUAUGAAACUUCAAGUGGGAUGACUUUGACAAAGGAGAACAAUGACAAACUCCAGGGACUGGAUUGCCAUCAAGUAAGGAUGGGGCUUGAAUCAAAACUACAGGGAUUGCCAUCAUUGACUGAUGGAGCCUGUAGUGGCUAAAAACGACAAAACUACCGGGAAUGCCAUCAUUGACUGAUGGGGCCUGUAGUGGCUAGAAGCGACAAAACUAUAAGGAAUGUCAUCACUGAUUGAUUACCGAGAAAAUCGAUACAUGGAAAGUAUUUAGCGCCGCCAUAACCCUACCUUCUUUUAAUUCUUUUUUCGAUUUUGCUCUUUCGUGGCCCUUAAAUUACAGUUAUACCCUUCUGGUUAUGAGAGCUUCCAACCGGCGCAAGCUAGAGCCACCGAGUCGAAGCUCUUCUUCACUACUCGGCUUCCCUCGUCACAGAUAUUGUCGGUACUGCCAAUUGAAAUAGAGAUUCGUCGAGCCAGUCGAACAAACACUUCUCAAAGUCCAUCUUUACCCUUUCCUGUAAAUAUUCUUUCUUUUUUACUUAACGGUUCGUAACCAAGAUGCAAAACUUGAAGAACAACCGCAACGGCCAGGCCGAGCCUCACCGUCGGGGGAAGUUAACAAACAAAUCCUCUUCCUUUCACAGUCACUCAUCGUCAACCGCUGGCAUGCUGGGCACAUCAAUUAGAUGGCCAAUGAUGGUGCCAGAACUUUUGCUAGUCACAAAAAACCACUAAAAACACUUAUAAACUCCUCAAAAACCAUUAUAAAGCCUUAAAAAUCACCAAAAAUGCUUAAAAACACUUAUAAACACCUCAAAAACCACUAUAAACCCUUAAAAACCACUAAAAACCCAUAAAAACAUAUAAACCUCUUAAAAACUAUUAUAAACCCUUAAAAACCACUAAAAACCCCUAAAAAUACUUACAAAUAUCUCAAAAGUCACUAUGAACCAUUGAAAACCACUAAAAACCCUGAAAACACUUAUAAAUCCCUAAAAAACUACUAUAAGUCCUUAAGAACUACUAAAAACCCCUAAACAAUCUUAUAAACCUCUUAAAAACCAUAAUAAACCCUUAAGAACCCCUAAAAACUUAUAAACCCCUCAAAAACCACUAUAAACCCUUAAAAACCACUAAAAAACCUAAAAACACUUAUAAUCCCCUAAAAAACAAAUUUAAACCCUUAAAAACCAGUAAAAAUCCUUAGUAACCCUUAUAAACCCUUAAAAACAACUAAAAACCCCUUAAAACACUUAUAAACUCAAAAAGAAUCACAAAAAAUCCUUAAAAAUCAUUAAAAACCCCUAAAAACACUUAUAAAUCCCUCAAAAACCAACAUAAAUCCGUUAAAGCCACUAAAACCCCCUAAAAACACGUAUAAACUCCUAAAAAACCAUUAUAAACCCCUAAAAAUCACUAGAAACCCUAAAGACACUUAUAAACUCAUUAGAAACCAUUAUAAACCCUUAAAAACCACUAGAAACCCCUAAAAACACGUAUAAAGUCCUCAAAAAACCAUUAUAAAUCCCUAAAAAUCACUAGAAAUCCCUAAAGACACUUAUAAACCCAUCAAAAACCAUUAUAAACCCUUUAAAACCACUAAAACCCUUAAAAACACUUAUAAACCCCUCAAAAACUAUUAUAAAGCCUUCAAACACACUAAAAACCUCUAAAAACACUUAUAAACCUCUCAAAAAUCACUAUAAACCAUUAAAAACCACUAAAAAGCCCUAAAAGAAUUUAUAAAUGCUUCAAAAACCACUAAAAACCCUUAAAAAUUUGAACCUUUAGUCCCCGUUUUUAAAAAUGUCAACCUUUAGUCCCUAUGAUAUGAAAAAUGUAUCAAACCAUAUUUUAAAAAUGUCAACCUUUAGGACAAAAAAAGGAUUUAAACCUAUUUUUAAACUAUAUUAAGUUAACCUACAUUUAUCUAGUUGUUAAGAGAAACUUUCCAAAUAAUAUUUAUUAUCUUACCAAAAAUAAAAUCUUUGAAACAAAAUUUAUAUAGGUAGAGUCUAUCUUUGAUAAAAUUUAUUUUGGGUAGAGCCUAUCUAGGGUAGAGCCUAUAUGGGGUAGAGCCUAUCUAGGAUAGAGUCUAUUUGUGGUAGAGCCUAUCUGGGGUAGAACAUAUCUGGGGUAGAGCCUAUAUGGGGUAGUGCCUAUGUGGGGUAUAACCUAUCUGGGGUAUAACCUAUCUGGAGUAGAGCCUAUUUGUGGUAGAACUUAUCUGGGGUAGUGUCUAUCUGGGGUAGUGUCUAUUCAGGGUAGUGUCUAUCUAGGGUAGUGUCUAUCUGGGGUAGUGUCUAUCUGGGGUAUAACCUAUCUGGGGUAGAGCCUAUCUGGGGUAGAGCCUAUCUGGGGUAGAGCCUAUCUGGGGUAGAGCCUAUCUGGGGGAGAACCUAUCUGGGGUAGAACCUAUCUGGGGUAGAACCUAUCUGGGGUAGAACCUAUCUGGGGUAGAACCUAUCUGGGUAGAACCUAUGUGGGAUAUAACCUAUUUGGGGUAGAGACUAUCUGGGGUAGUCUAUCUGUGGUAGAGCUUAUCUGGAUUAGAGCCUAUCUGGGGUAGAGCCUAUCUGGGAUAGUGCCUAUCCCUAUCUAGGGUAGAGCCUAUCUGGGGUAGAGCCUAUCUGAGGUAGAGCCUAUUUGGGAUAUAACCUAUCUGGGGUAUAACCUAUCU